AGUGGCAGACGGGUGAGUAACGCGUGGGAAUCUACCUAGUUCUACGGAACAACAGUUGGAAACGACUGCUAAUACCGUAUACGCCCUACGGGGGAAAGAUUUAUCGGAAUUAGAUGAGCCCGCGUAAGAUUAGCUUGUUGGUGAGGUAAAAGCUCACCAAGGCGACGAUCUUUAGCUGGUCUGAGAGGAUGAUCAGCCACACUGGGACUGAGACACGGCCCAAACUCCUACGGGAGGCAGCAGUGGGGAAUCUUGCGCAAUGGGCGAAAGCCUGACGCAGCCAUGCCGCGUGGAUGAUGAAGGUCUUAGGAUUGUGAAAUCCUUUCACCGGGGACGAUAAUGACGGUACCCGGAGAAGAAGCCCCGGCUAACUUCGUGCCAGCAGCCGCGGUAAUACGAAGGGGGCUAGCGUUGCUCGGAAUUACUGGGCGUAAAGGGAGCGUAGGCGGACAUUUAAGUCAGGGGUGAAAUCCCGGGGCUCAACCUCGGA
RNAcentral lists this ribosomal RNA (490 nucleotides) under uncultured Alphaproteobacteria bacterium. RNAcentral's name for it is "bacterial SSU rRNA". It matches the Rfam family "Bacterial small subunit ribosomal RNA", at positions 94 to 619 of the family's 1533-position model. The record is from RNAcentral. Lineage: Bacteria; Pseudomonadati; Pseudomonadota; Alphaproteobacteria.